AUCCAGCUGACGAGUCCCAAAUCGGAUGAAACGCGCGUCCUGGAU
RNAcentral lists this non-coding RNA (45 nucleotides) under Schistosoma mansoni. The record is from RNAcentral. Lineage: Eukaryota; Metazoa; Platyhelminthes; Trematoda; Strigeidida; Schistosomatidae.